This 253-nucleotide ribosomal RNA is filed under the name uncultured bacterium. RNAcentral's name for it is "partial 16S ribosomal RNA". It matches the Rfam family "Bacterial small subunit ribosomal RNA", at positions 524 to 776 of the family's 1533-position model. The record is from RNAcentral.
UACGUAGGGGGCUAGCGUUGUCCGGAUUUAUUGGGCGUAAAGAGCGUGUAGGCGGCCUGGUAGGUCAGUUGUGAAAACUCGAGGCUCAACCUCGAGACGCCGAUUGAAACCAUCAGGCUAGAGUCCGGAAGAGGAGAGUGGAAUUCCCGGUGUAGCGGUGAAAUGCGCAGAUAUCGGGAAGAACACCCGUGGCUAAGGCGGCUCUCUAGUACGGUACUGACGCUGAGACGCGAAAGCGUGGGGAGCGAACAGG